This 243-nucleotide small RNA is filed under the name Pongo abelii (Sumatran orangutan). Its description in RNAcentral is "retained intron". The record is from RNAcentral. Lineage: Eukaryota; Metazoa; Chordata; Mammalia; Primates; Hominidae.
CCACAGUCCCCCCAUCUUUGCCAUACCCCCGCCUCUGGGCAGGAUCUUCCGGAAGGUGGGCCAGCGGCUGCUCACCCAGUGCCGAACACCCUGCCCCUUCACACCUAAAGAGGCCUCGGGUCCAGGAGAAGGUGGGCCAGACCCUGACUCCAUGGAGUGGCACAGCGAGGUGAGACAUCAGGGUGGGGGACACGGGGAGACACAGGUGGAGGGCAUGCUGGCCCCUGCUAAAACCCCCUCCCC